GAGUUUGAUCGUGGCUCAGAGUGAACGCUGGCGGUAGGCCUAACACAUGCAAGUCGAACGGUAACAGGUCUUUCGGGAUGCUGACGAGUGGCGGACGGGUGAGGAAUACAUCGGAAUCUGCUCAGUCGUGGGGGAUAACGCAUGGAAACGUGCGCUAAUACCGCAUACGACCUUCGGGUGAAAGCAGGGGAAUCUUUAGGGAUCCUUGCGCGAUUGAAUGAGCCGAUGUCGGAUUAGCUAGUUGGUAGGGUAAAAGCCUACCAAGGCGACGAUCCGUAGCUGGUCUGAGAGGAUGAUCAGCCACACUGGGACUGAGACACGGCCCAGACUCCUGCGGGAGGCAGCAGUGGGGAAUAUUGGACAAUGGGGGCAACCCUGAUCCAGCCAUACCGCGUGGGUGAAGAAGGCCUUCUGGGUUGUAAAGCCCUUUUGUUGGGGAAGAAAAACAACGGGUUAAUACCCCGUUGGUAUGACGGUACCCAAAGAAUAAGCACCGGCUAACUUCGUGCCAGCAGCCGCGGUAAUACGAAGGGUGCAAGCGUUACUCGGAAUUACUGGGCGUAAAGGGUGCGUAGGUGGUUGCGCCAGUCUGUCGUGAAAGCCCUGGGCUUAACCUGGGAAUGGCGAUGGAAACUGUGCAACUAGAGUGUGACAGAGGGUGGUGGAAUUCCUGGUGUAGCAGUGAAAUGCGUAGAGAUCAGGAGGAACAUUCGUGGCGAAGGCGGCCACCUGGGUCAACACUGACACUGAGGCACGAAAGCGUGGGGAGCAAACAGGAUUAGAUACCCUGGUAGUCCACGCCCUAAACGAUGCGAACUGGAUGUUGGGUCCAACUUGGGAUUCAGUAUCGAAGCUAACGCGUUAAGUUCGCCGCCUGGGGAGUACGGUCGCAAGACUGAAACUCAAAGGAAUUGACGGGGGCCCGCACAAGCGGUGGAGUAUGUGGUUUAAUUCGAUGCAACGCGCAGAACCUUACCUGGCCUUGACAUGCACGGGAGUCUUUAGAGAUAGAG
RNAcentral lists this ribosomal RNA (1013 nucleotides) under uncultured Lysobacterales bacterium. Its description in RNAcentral is "bacterial SSU rRNA". It matches the Rfam family "Bacterial small subunit ribosomal RNA", at positions 9 to 1011 of the family's 1533-position model. Lineage: Bacteria; Pseudomonadati; Pseudomonadota; Gammaproteobacteria; Lysobacterales. The record is from RNAcentral.